CUCUCUCUCUCUCUCUCUCUCUCUCUCUCGGAUCUACAUGAACAAGAAUUUCUCUGCCUUCAGAUCAACAUGAACAUACAUGUAUCCUCCGUCGACAUUUCUAACUCAACUUUCAGAUAUUCAAGUAGUUUGUUUCUUCAAUUUAUUUCAAGGAUGAAUUUGGGGAUAAAGUGCUUUCCGUUGUAUGCCUAUACCAUUGCCAUAUGUUCAAGUAGUUUGUUUCUUCAAUUUAUUUCAAGGCUGGAUUUUGGGGAUGUUGCUUUCCGCUACCUAUACCAUUGCCAUGUGAUUCUCAAUUUCUCUCUUUUCUUUUAUAAUGCUUUUAUAAAUCCUCAGUUGGCAAUGUUAUUAUUAUUAUCCCAAAAAUCAAGCUAAUGAACUCAGCAGAGGUAAAUCUACCUUCCUGAAACCUUACCUAUCAAUUAUCUUAUGUCCUCUUCUUGAUUUGAAUAGUUGGUUACUUCUUGGCAAAGACCCCCUCCAAUUUGUUUUGGUGGUGAAUAAUCUAGGCAAAUCUGCUACACGACAGUCCAACUUAUAAGUUGCAUAUCAAUUAUAAACCCCUACUAAGAAUAUAAAUCGCCACCAUCUGCUUUUGGUUCUCUAAUUAGCUAUUAUAUCAGACGGGGAUAUGCAUACCUGGUACAUCACUAGUCACAUGGCCCACAUCCGACUUAAAAGAAACCUUUGUGCUCUCUCGAUCCGAAACACUAAUUUUUCUUUUAUCAUGAGAGUUGCUGCUUAGGUGAAGAGUUUAAUUGCUGAUUGAGGAACAUUUUCUGAAUAACACAGAAUACCAGGUAAAGAUGCAACUACCAGUCAUAAAUAUUUUUUAUUAACAAUAACUUGCAAUGAACUAUACCCAGACUUGGACUAGCAACUUUUUUGGGUAGUGACCAGACUUGGACUAGCAACUUUUUUGGGUAGUGACUUGGACUAGCAACUAAAUAGCCUUUUUUAAAAUUAUUUUGGUCUUCAGUUUGAUUUCCAUUGGCUUUGGCCCGACGGUUUCAGGGCUGAAUUUAUGUGAACUAGCAAUAACAUUCUUCUUUACAGAGUGAAUAUGCAGAGAAUCUGUUUCAAUGACAUUAGAAGCUAUGAGCUUAGUUAUUUAUUGAUUGAUAUAAUAUGUAGGCUUAUAAUGAGAAAGUGGUAAAUUUCGUUCCUAUUUGUCUAGAUAGGGCUUAAGAUUUAGGACUGUGGAAUUAGUUUGGAAAGGUAUUUAGGUAUCGAUCGUCUGAAAUUCUAUCUAAGUUUCAAAUCUUAACCUAGCUGUGAAUCAGUAUUCUCAAUUACGAACAUGAUAAAAUUGAUAUUGGGCGUUAGAAAAUGAAUGACAGGUUUGGGCAACAAAUCGUAACUUAGUUGUGAAUCAGUAUUCUCAAUUAUGAGCAUGGUUAACUCAUGGCGAAGCAGUAUAUAUGUUUGAACUUGAAAGUUUGGCUUAAUAUACCAUUACCUUAAAUCACUCUGAUGAAGCGUAACUAUCAGUUGGGUGAUGCUAUAGGCUGUGAACUGAAGGCAGGGGAUGGGGUUGAGCAGGGAGGUGAUCAAACAUUCAAACAUACACGUUUCUAUUGCAGUUACAUAGAGAAUGUUAUGUGUAUGCCCUGGAGGCCUUGAUUUGGCAACUUAGAGCACUAGGUUUAUGUGGUUGAUACCAGAAAUCUGUGAGUUAACUAAUUAUCCACUUUUUGUUUGCUUCUGAUUUAUACCUUUCACCAGCUUUGAAAGGCAAUGUAGGAAGGUAUGAUCCUCAAAAAAAUCUCCAGGAAAUGAUGAAUUUCGGAAUCGUAAAGGAUGUCUUUUAACUUAAUCCAUAAGGUUUUUGUCUCAGAUGAAUGUGAGCUUGUUGAAAAUGUAUUGUUUAGUGUAUCUUCAAAUCCCAUUGAAUUUUUUUUUGUGCUGUUUAACUGUUAUCACAGUUCUUAUUCUUAUUAUUACCGUCAAAUCUGAAAUUUGGUUGUUCAUUAGGGUUAGAACAUUCUAAUUGUUCUUAAUUGUAGCUCAUAUCAUAGGCUGAUAACAACUUAAUUCCUUGUGCAUCUGUUUCAGCAUUGCUUGUUUCUUUAGAAUUUUUUUUGCAAGUUUUGAUCUUGUUUGGUUUUAUCUAUGAGUGUCUAGACAACGAGUAUAUGACAUGUUCACUUGAGUAAUUUUUGCAUGAAAUGGGCUUGUAUUUUUUUUUAAUUUUUUUUUAGAUUUUAGACUUAUUCUAUCAUUCAUUUUAGCCUCAGGGAAACAUGGAGUAAGAUUAACGAAGGCUUUAUUACUAAUGAGAUAUGUAAUAGUAGUGUUCUGUAAACAUUUCUUACUAAUGUGGCUUGUUUGGUUAUUUUUGUGUGAUUUGUCUUGCAGUUGCUAUAUAGUAAGAGAUGAGUUAUCGCAAGAGGGUUAGACCUGCAACAAGUCUUGGGAAUGGCACACCAACGAUCCACUUUCAAAUGUCUGGGUGUGGCUGAAUGGUUGCAGACCAUGCAUGUGGUUAACCAGGAUUUUCUUGAUAAGAGUUUGAGAUAUUCCCCGUUACAGUUUUAGCAUAAACACCUUAGAGUCUUAUUAAACGCCAGACAGUCGGCGAUAGGAAUUAUGCUACCCGGUCUUCCUUGAGUAUUAAGACCCUUUGAGGGAAGAAAUAUAGAUGGCUUCUCUCUAACAGUUUCUUCAACAAACAGAAGGAUACUAGCAAGUAGUGGGACUCGAGUUGGCGUGAAUGUGAGGCGGGUUACAAAUUGACAAUGCAAACGAGCUAUCAAAUUUUUUGUUCCAGAGGAGUAUUUAGCUUACAGCCAUGCCAGAAGGCUUUACUGUAUUAAGUGUGCUAAAUGUGCUGAAGGAUGAGCCUGGCAUCAGUUCUUUGAAAACAAGAACUUCAAUAUAAGUUGUUCAAUGUCUUUAAUGUAAACAAAUAGUAGAAGUGUGCAUAAUAUUACAAUGUUAAUGUACGAUACUAAUAAUUAUUUUGUUGUAGUUUAUAUCAAUUUUGAACAAUUCAUGUAAGACUCAUUUUUUCUUCCAUUUAUACAUAAGUAAUGAAUA
This is a long non-coding RNA of Spinacia oleracea (spinach), 3039 nucleotides long. RefSeq lists it as uncharacterized. The transcript has 6 exons. The record is from RefSeq and is a predicted model, not a curated record. Lineage: Eukaryota; Viridiplantae; Streptophyta; Magnoliopsida; Caryophyllales; Amaranthaceae.